UACAGAGGGGGCAAGCGUUGUUCGGAAUUACUGGGCGUAAAGGGCGCGUAGGCGGCCUUCUAAGUCGAACGUGAAAUCCCCGGGCUCAACCCGGGAACUGCGUCCGAGACUGGAAGGCUCGAAUCCGGGAGAGGGAUGUGGAAUUCCAGGUGUAGCGGUGAAAUGCGUAGAUAUCUGGAGGAACAUCGGUGGCGAAGGCGGCAUCCUGGACCGGUAUUGACGCUGAGGCGCGAGAGCCAGGGGAGCAAACGGG
Molecule: ribosomal RNA, 253 nt
Filed under: uncultured bacterium
Lineage: Bacteria
Description: partial 16S ribosomal RNA
Rfam family: Bacterial small subunit ribosomal RNA
Source: RNAcentral